UACGGAGGGAGCAAGCGUUACUCGGAAUUAUUGGGCGUAAAGGGCGCGUAGGCGAUUUGAAAAGUCUUGUGUGAAAGCCCCGAGCUUAACUCGGGAAGUGCACAAGAAACUGUUGAAUUUGAGUUCCGGAGAGGAAGGCAGAAUUCCCGGUGUAGCGGUGAAAUGCGUAGAUAUCGGGAGGAAUACCAGUGGCGAAGGCGGCCUUCUGGACGGAUACUGACGCUGAGGUGCGAAAGCGUGGGGAGCAAACAGG
RNAcentral lists this ribosomal RNA (253 nucleotides) under uncultured bacterium. Its description in RNAcentral is "partial 16S ribosomal RNA". It matches the Rfam family "Bacterial small subunit ribosomal RNA", at positions 524 to 776 of the family's 1533-position model. The record is from RNAcentral.